AUGGUGGUGGUCGAUAGAUUCACGAAAUACAGUCAUUUCAUUCCCAUGUCCCACCCUUAUUCAGUUCUCUCCGUGGCUCAAAAGUUUGUGCACAACAUCAUAAGAUUGCAUGGUCCUCCUAAGCUCAUUAUCUCUGACAGAGAUAGAAUUUUUACCAGCAAACUGGGGAAAGACAUUUUUACUGCCCUCAAGGUGGAACUCAGAUUCAGCACGACCUACCAUCUUCAAACGGAUGGCCAGACAGAGCGGGUGAACCAGUGUUUGGAAACAUACCUGCGUUGUAUGACAACUGAUCAACCUACCAAGUGGAUGUCAUGGCUGUCUCUGGCAGAAUAUUGGUAUAAUUCCACUUAUCACACGGCUUUGAAAAUGUCUCCAUUUCAAGCCCUGUAUGGAUUUCCACCUCCACUCAUAUCUGAAUUAGCAAUUCCUGGACCAGAUGAUGAGGAAGCACAAGAUUUCUUGACAGCUAAACAGCAAAUGUUAGAGCAGUUGAAAGAGAAUUUGUGCAAGGCUCAGAACAGAAUGAAGCGUUAUGCAGAUCUCAGACGAGUGGAGAGAAGUUUCCAGGUGGGGGACAUGGUUUACUUGAAGAUGGCACCUUAUAGAUUGGCAGCAUUUGGCUUUCGAGGAGCUCUUAAGUUGCAGAACAAGUAUUAUGGCCCUUUUCUCAUAACACAAAAGAUAGGGAACUCUGCUUACAAAUUGCAAUUUCCUAGCAACGUUCAGAUAAACCCGGUCUUUCAUGUCAGCCAGCUCAAAAAACAUAUUGGACAAAAGGCGAUUCCGAGCCCCAAUCUUCCAAUGGUCAAUGCAGAUGGCACGAUCAAAACGGGCCCGGCCGCAGUUCUACAAGUCAGGCAAAUUCCACGCAACAAUGCACCAGUGGUUCAGUGGCAAAUCCAAUGGGAAAAUCUGUCACCGGACGACGCGACGUGGGAGGAUGCAGACUUCAUCAAGUACUCAUUCCUGGAGUUUUUCAGGCAAACUACUCAAGCUUGGCGCACAGCACAAGAAUCGACGUGA
RNAcentral lists this ribosomal RNA (1026 nucleotides) under Triticum aestivum (bread wheat). Its description in RNAcentral is "partial small subunit ribosomal RNA". The record is from RNAcentral. Lineage: Eukaryota; Viridiplantae; Streptophyta; Magnoliopsida; Poales; Poaceae.